ACCAGACUCCUACGGGAGGCAGCAGUGGGGGAUAUUGCACAAUGGGGGGAACCCUGAUGCAGCGACGCCGCGUGGAUGAAGAAGCGCCUCGGCGCGUAAAGCCCUGUCAGCAGGGAAGAAAAUGACGGUACCUGAAGAAGAAGCCCCGGCUAACUACGUGCCAGCAGCCGCGGUAAUACGUAGGGGGCAAGCGUUAUCCGGAUUUACUGGGUGUAAAGGGGGCGCAGACGGCGAUGCAAGCCAGGAGUGAAAGCCCGGGGCCCAACCCCGGGACUGCUCUUGGAACUGCGUGGCUGGAGUGCAGGAGGGGCAGGCGGAAUUCCUGGUGUAGCGGUGAAAUGCGUAGAUAUCAGGAGGAACACCGGUGGCGAAGGCGGCCUGCUGGACUGCAACUGACGUUGAGGCCCGAAAGCGUGGGGAGCAAACAGGAUUAGAUACCCCCGUAAA
Molecule: ribosomal RNA, 447 nt
Filed under: uncultured bacterium
Lineage: Bacteria
Description: bacterial SSU rRNA
Rfam family: Bacterial small subunit ribosomal RNA
Source: RNAcentral